Molecule: unclassified non-coding RNA, 331 nt
Filed under: soil metagenome
Description: partial contains 5.8S ribosomal RNA, internal transcribed spacer 2, and large subunit ribosomal RNA
Rfam family: 5.8S ribosomal RNA (bases 1-120)
Source: RNAcentral
GAUGAAGAACGUAGCGAAAUGCGAUAAGUAAUGUGAAUUGCAGAAUUCAGUGAAUCAUCGAAUCUUUGAACGCACAUUGCGCCCGCCAGUAUUCUGGCGAGCAUGCCUGUUCGAGCGUCAUUUCAACCAUCAAGCCCCAGGCUUGUGUUGGAGCCCUGCGGCUGCCGCAGCCUCCCAAAACCAGUGGCGGGCUCGCUAUCACACCGAGUGCAGUAGUUUACUCUUCGCUCAGGGCGUGUGGCGGGUGCUAGCCGUGAAACCCCCAACUUCUCAAGGUUGACCUCGGAUCAGGUAGGAAUACCCGCUGAACUUAAGCAUAUCAAUAAGAGGA